GAUUCAUAUCCUUUUUUGGAAUUACUGAACAUGCCUAAGAAUUGGAUACACACAUACAGUAUAUGUGUGGGUAUAUCCAUCAAUUCAUUAUCUGUCCCUCCUGGGAGAAUUUAGAGCCACCAUUUAAUCUAACACAUAUGUGAGUAUAGUGUUAUUGUCACAUUUAAUUAAUAAUGUUACACACACCUGUAGAUCUUUCUUUCUUUCUUUCUUUCUUUCUUUCUUUCUUUCUUUCUUUCUUUCUUUCUUUCUUUCUUUCUUUCUUUCAAAAACAACCUUAUAGAUAAAUUUUACACAAACAAUUUGACAAGAGCAAUGCUGAAAAUAUUAGGUAAAAAGCAAAGCAUUUUGUGAAUGUUAAUAUCAUCUGAAAAACAUUUACAUUAUUAAAAAUAUUAUACUAUCCAAAGGAAGAGUUGCAAUAAGAAUGCCCCACAAAAGACAUUAGCAUUUACUGUACUUUGCUGGGUGCCACAGACUAUACCAUCACUCCUCCCACGCAUAUCUUUACUCUAUUUAUCUCGGCUCAGUCUGUCUUCCUCUCUUCAUCUCUUGCUCUAUCACUUUAAGUCUUCAUCUUUCAUCCUGUCUCUUUCACUCACUCCUCUCCUUUUAUCAACCAGUAUCUUCCACCCACACUUAUCUGGCCUCACCAUAAUGUCUGCAUGAUUUCUGUUUUCCCUUUCUGUACUGUCCAUUGUGGUGAACUAAUUUAUUUUUAUAUCCAUUAAACUCUCCUUAUCUCCUCUACCCUUACAUACCUGCUUCUUCUCUUUACAAUUACUAUUUCCCCACCUUUAUUCCCUUAUUUUUUCUCUUAUUCUAUUCUAUUCAAUCAACACCUAUCUAUUUCUUCUGUCCCUGGGAAAAAGUUAAAUUUACUUGGUAACUAAUGCUUUAACAACAAUUAUCCAAAGAUUCUAGAAGCUAAAUUAAUAAAAAAGAGCAGAAGAAUGAAGUGACUUUCCUUAUUUAAAUUUCUCUUUAAUUAAACAUUUAAUCUUUGCAGUCAAAUAUCUCAGCAUCUAAUGAACUGGUCUUAUUACACCUUUUGAGCAAUUUACCUAUGAAAAAAGCUAUUUCAUAUAUUGGAGGUUAAAAUCAGCCAUUACAUGUCCGCACCCAUAAGUGGUGUUGAUUUGUUUCAACUUUAACUAUCACAUCCAGAAAACAUUUGGAUGUACUAGAAGCCAGGUAAUGAAAAAAAACACAUGAUCUGUUUAGUAUGAUCACCAGAUGAUAAAAUUAAUAUGAGUCUAUGUUAGCAACCAGAAUAUCCAGUUCGUGGAUAAGGGGAACCCUUGCCUGUAGUUCCCGAAUAAUUCUGUCUUGGUUUCUUUGAAUACUUUGGGUAUUUGGGGGAGCUGUCGGAAAACUUUCUGUUCCAGCUUUAGGAGAUAAAUAUCAGAAUGACUAAUCUACUAAAUAGCCACCACUCCGCCAAGUUCAGUUCUCUGCUUGCUGGUUUCUCACAAAGUAAACUGGUACAAUUUAACAAAUGAGAAAAGCAUUCUCUUUUCCCAUUUAUAUUAUCUACUUUUUGGAGCCCACUUUGCAUGUUUUAGAUUUAUGCCUUGACCCUUUUUUUAAACUCUUGUUGACUUUUUCUAAGUUGCCUUUUCUUCCCCCAUUUUCAGUUACCAUGGAAAUAUAUGUGGCUUUUUUUAAGUUCUUCUCUGUGUCUCUCCUCAGUUUCCAUGGCAAUAUCAGGUAUUUUGUGUGACUCUUUUAACCCACUCUCUACCUUGGAAUGCUAGACAGUAUUGUACCUCUUUCCAAUUGCGCUAGACUCUGUAAGAGAAAGCAUGAGUCAAGGAUAUAAGCAGGUAGCUAAUCCUCUGUGCAGUCUGCUCCAGAGUAAAUCAGUAUAUCUGAAAACAUGUUUUAUCUGUACAAGGGUCAGUAACUUUACCAUUCAGUUAUACUCUGUCACUAACAACCGUCUUCCCUUACCUCAAUUGUUUAUCACUCUGCCUCUCCCUCAUAUCACACCAUCUGUGGUAUGCGGUCUGUCAGUCGGUGUGUCUCCUACUUAGUCAUGUUGUCGGUUUUGAGUGAUCAGCAACUUCAUCUGCCUUUACAGCUCAGUUUCUUAGCUGUUCUGCCUGUUCAUUGCUCUGUUUUCCUGGCUACCUUGAAGUCAUUGUCUUUGACGCUGUCUGGUUCUAUACCUAUCAAUCCUGCUCCCUGUCUAUUUGUCUGUCUGACAAUGUUAACCCCUUACUUCUGUUAGUGAUUUUCACCCCCCUCUCUCCCUCCCUCCUCGUUUUCUCUCAUCUUUACACAAUGUUUUUCUUAGCUCUGCCUUUGCUCUUCUGUGUAUAUGAUUAUCUGUAUUGUGCUCUUCAAACACCCAUGUCCUUCUUGUGUUUGUAAGUCUGUUUGUCAGAAUGUUUGUGUGUCCUUUCUCUUUUGUGAUUCAAUGUGUCUGUCUGGAUGGCUGCUUCCUUAAAUCUCGCUGUGCCUCUCUUUCUCUCUUUAUUGCACCUUCUUUCUCCUCAGU
This is a long non-coding RNA of Erpetoichthys calabaricus (reedfish), 2503 nucleotides long. RefSeq lists it as uncharacterized. The record is from RefSeq and is a predicted model, not a curated record. The transcript has 2 exons. NCBI's taxonomy places the organism in Eukaryota, Metazoa, Chordata, Cladistia, Polypteriformes, Polypteridae.